This is a long non-coding RNA of Phyllostomus discolor (pale spear-nosed bat), 93 nucleotides long. RefSeq lists it as uncharacterized. The record is from RefSeq and is a predicted model, not a curated record. The transcript has 3 exons. NCBI's taxonomy places the organism in Eukaryota, Metazoa, Chordata, Mammalia, Chiroptera, Phyllostomidae.
UGUUAAGAGAGUGAAAAAAAGAAAGAGAAAGAGAGAAAGAGAGGAGACAGAAUUUUUGGCAUACAGUUAACAGAAGUAGAAACUUGGAAACAG